GAUUAAGCCAUGCAUGUGUAAGUAUAAAUAGUUAACUUUGAAACUGCGAAUGGCUCAUUAUAUCAGUUAUAGUUAAUUUGAUGAAGAAUACUAAUUGGAUAACCGUAGUAAUUCUAGAGCUAAUACAUGUAUAAAGUCUUGUAGACUGCAUUUAUUAGAAUGAAAACCAUAGGUUUCGGCCUAUUCGUGAGUAAUAAUAACUAAUCAUAUCGUAUGCUUAUGUAACGAUGUGUCUUUCAAGUUUCUGCCCUAUCAGCUUUCGAUGGUAGUGUAUUGGACUACCAUG
This 286-nucleotide ribosomal RNA is filed under the name Blastocystis sp. Its description in RNAcentral is "partial small subunit ribosomal RNA". It matches the Rfam family "Eukaryotic small subunit ribosomal RNA", at positions 42 to 348 of the family's 1831-position model. The record is from RNAcentral. Lineage: Eukaryota; Bigyra; Opalinata; Blastocystidae.